This 490-nucleotide ribosomal RNA is filed under the name uncultured bacterium. Its description in RNAcentral is "partial 16S ribosomal RNA". It matches the Rfam family "Bacterial small subunit ribosomal RNA", at positions 30 to 507 of the family's 1533-position model. The record is from RNAcentral.
AUUGAACGCUGGCGGCAGGCCUAACACAUGCCAGUCGAACGGUAACAGGAAGCAGCUUGCUGCUUCGCUGACGAGUGGCGGACGGGUGAGUAAUGUCUGGGAAACUGCCUGAUGGAGGGGGAUAACUACUGGAAACGGUAGCUAAUACCGCAUAACGUCGCAAGACCAAAGAGGGGGACCUUAGGGCCUCUUGCCAUCGGAUGUGCCCAGAUGGGAUUAGCUAGUAGGUGAGGUAACGGCUCACCUAGGCGACGAUCCCUAGCUGGUCUGAGAGGAUGACCAGCCACACUGGAACUGAGACACGGUCCAGACUCCUACGGGAGGCAGCAGUGGGGAAUAUUGCACAAUGGGCGCAAGCCUGAUGCAGCCAUGCCGCGUGUAUGAAGAAGGCCUUCGGGUUGCAAAGUACUUUCAGCGGGGAGGAAGGGAGUAAAGUUAAUACCUUUGCUCAUUGACGUUACCCGCAGAAGAAGCACCGGCUAACUCCGUG